GACGAACGCUGGCGGCGUGCUUAACACAUGCAAGUCGAACGGAAAGGCCCUGCUUUUGUGGGGUGCUCGAGUGGCGAACGGGUGAGUAACACGUGAGUAACCUGCCCUUGACUUUGGGAUAACUUCAGGAAACUGGGGCGAAUACCGGAGAGGAGCUCCUGCUGCAUGGGGGGGGUUGGAAAGUUUCGGCGGUUGGGGAUGGUCUCGCGGCUUAUCAGCUUGUUGGUGGGGUAGUGGCGUACGAAGGCUUUGACGGGUAGCCGGCGUGAGAGGGUGGCCGGCCACAUUGGGACUGCGAUACGGACCAGACUCCUACGGGAGGCAGCAGUGGGGAAUAUUGCACAAUGGGCGGAAGCCUGAUGCAGCAACGCCGCGUGCGGGAUGCCGGCCUUCGGGUUGUAAACCGCUUUCGCCUGUGACGAAGCGUGAGUGACGGUAAUGGGUAAAGAAGCACCGGCUAACUACGUG
This 468-nucleotide ribosomal RNA is filed under the name uncultured bacterium. Its description in RNAcentral is "partial 16S ribosomal RNA". It matches the Rfam family "Bacterial small subunit ribosomal RNA", at positions 28 to 507 of the family's 1533-position model. The record is from RNAcentral.